GGACUACUGGGGUAUCUAAUCCCAUUUGCUCCCCUAGCUUUCGUUCCUCAGUGUCAGUUAUAGCCCAGCAAGCCGCUUACGCCACCGGUGUUCUUCCCAAUAUCUACGCAUUUCACCGCUACACUGGGAAUUCCGCUUGCCUCUACUACACUCCAGUCUGCCAGUAUCCAAUGCACUCCCGAGGUUGAGCCCCAGUCUUUAACAUCAGACUUAACAAACCACCUACGAACUCUUUACGCCCAAUAAAUCCGGACAACGCUUGCAUCCUACGUCUUACCGCGGCUGCUGGCAC
Molecule: ribosomal RNA, 292 nt
Filed under: uncultured bacterium
Lineage: Bacteria
Description: partial 16S ribosomal RNA
Source: RNAcentral